CCAGAAGGGCAAUUCAGCGCCGAGUGGGGGAAGGCUCAGCCUGGCUGCACGAAAAGCAAGGUUAAACCUGUCUCAGCAUCUGUGGGACACACUCGUGGAGCCGACCUCAUGCAGAGUGCUUGUCCCUACCCAUCUUUGUUGGUGAGGGCAGGCUACAGCUUCUCCCUGAUAAUUGCUCUCUCCAAGCUGUAACCCUAACUCAGGAUGGGGACUCAGAUUUCGGGAGGGAUUGCACUGAAUGGCUCAGCUCCUCCAYGCACCAGAGCGGCGCCGUACAUGUUUUGUGCUGAUCAGGAGAUAACCAGCUCCAAGAAAUCCCAGGAAAGCAUGCUUUUAUUGAACCAAAACAGCUCCAUUACAGGGCUGUCCUGCAAAGGAGAAASUGCCCCCACGGGUGAUCGGGUGCAGAAGCUCACUGGGGUCACACACCACCUCGUUCCCCCGGGAUGCACRGCACUGUGGCACCCAAGCAAGGCCACUCCAAAGGAGCUCUCCACAGCAUUUGCACGCCCACGGGCUCCCGGCUGAGCCCCCAGACUUCCCCUGCGGGGAAGGGGCUACGGCACGGGGCUGUGCGGCACCGCUAGUACCAGUUGGUGCUGGCGAUCAUGUAGCGCACGUCGUCCAGUGGAGCGCUCACCGUGCCCGGGCCGGUGGCGGGGUGGGUGCCGGGCUCCGCGGUGGGGUGGGUGCCAGGCCCCAUGGCAGGGUGGGGGCCAGGCUCCACGGUGGGGUGGGUGCCGGGCCCCACGGUGGGGUGGGGGCCAGGCCCUGUGGUGGGAUGUGUGCCGGGCUCCGCGGUGGGGUGGCGGCCAGGCCCCAUGGCGAGGUGGGGGCCAGGCCCGGUGGCGGGGUGGGUGCUGGGCCCUGCGGGGGCCGCAGUGGGGCCGGGCCCUGGCAGCGGGGCCCUGGCAGUGUCUGGGGAGGUGGACGUAUGACCCGUGGGCUCCACAGGCUGCCGGUCCGCCAUGGCCCUAGGGAGAAGAAGGGGGUCAGGGCCCUGGGGGGCACCGCCCCCCCCACCGC
This 1026-nucleotide long non-coding RNA is filed under the name Dromaius novaehollandiae (emu). RNAcentral describes it as "lncRNA (ENSDNVG00000013688.1)". The record is from RNAcentral. Lineage: Eukaryota; Metazoa; Chordata; Aves; Casuariiformes; Dromaiidae.